This 1081-nucleotide long non-coding RNA is filed under the name Homo sapiens (human). Lineage: Eukaryota; Metazoa; Chordata; Mammalia; Primates; Hominidae. The record is from RNAcentral.
GCAGGGCAGCUCCUGUCUUGUCCCCAAGCAGCUGACUCCCAAAGAGGAGGAAGGGCAGGUGCUGGAAAGCACAGGCUAAACUUCUUCCCUAAACUGCACUGGUAGAAUGAAUGAAGGGAUAAAGAGAGGCCAGGACUGUUACUCUAACAGAAUUCUGUCUACAUGGAGGCAAGCAUCAGGAACAGUGAUUACUCCCUGACUAACAUUUUCCAUUAUUUCUUAAUAGGUCACAUGUUUCCCUGCCUCUGUAUCCUGUUUAACAUCUAUCCUGUCUGAAAUGCCCUUUCAGUGCUCACUUCAGCAGCACAUAUACUAAAAUUGGAAGGAUACAGAGAAGAUUAACAUGGCCUCUGUGCAAGGAUGAAAUGUCCUCUCAAUCAUCAUCAUUUAUCUGAAUUUCAUGUGUCCUUAAAAACCAGGUGGAGUUUGACUUCCUCAGUUGAGUCUUCUCUGACUGCUGCUGUGGGUAAACUUUCCCUGUACCAAGAGCAAUCUGCUUGGAGUCCCCACAGCAGUUCCCCAAAGCCUGAUUGACACCGACAUUACCCACAGGAGAGUUUACCCACACCAAAACCUUGGCCUCACUCUUGGAGAAUCUGAUCAGAUCUUAAGCGGAGUUUAAGAAUCUGUAUUUUUAAAAAGUCUCUUGGGAUAGUUCUAAUAAUCUGCCUUGUCCAGAAACCACCGUCCAGUCAUUAUUUGCAUGAACCUUUUGACACUCACAGCCCUGGUUGUAAGAGGGGAGAAAUGCAUCUCACAAAGUAAAAGGGUUACACAAAGGUGCAUAGGAUAUAGAGCACAGAGGAGCUUAGUUAGGAUGGGCAUCACGGAAAAGAGGCUUAAACGUGGGUGAGGAGACAAUGGUGCCAAUUGUGGGGAAGUAGUGGGGAUAACCUCCAGCAAUUUCUCUGCAGCCAAAAAUGACUUCAGAUAUCAAGAGGGCAUAAGAGAAUUAUAUGACCGUUGUCUGUAAAGGAGUAUGAUCAUAAUACCUUUGUAGAGUUGUUGGGUGAAUUACGUAAAAAAGUAUACCAAGUAUGUAAUGCACCUAGCAUAGUUCCCAAAAUGUAGAAGAUACAGC